UUCAGGCAAAUGCAUAUGCUGAGGAGUUUAUGUGGUAGUUCCCACAGUUUGAUCAACAGUUGGUAAAGUAAGGGCAAGAGUUUGAAGAUGUUGAGGAAAAACCAGAAGUUUCCUUGUCAAAAGGUGUGAGGACUCAGUUUAAGGUACACAUGGCAUGGAAGGAGACAAAACAAGGGAGGUUACAAGAGAAGGCUCGGAAAACAGGUCAUCCGGGUGCACAGCUUCAAGGAAAAAGAGCCUUCGAGAAGACAUCCUCGGGGAAUGAACUGAAGAUAGCACAGAUGAAUCUGAAGGGCAAUGAUGUGGACAAUGAAACAAAGGGAGACAAGGUGUCAGGAGAUUCAGGUGCGCUGACGAGCCUCGUAUGAAUUUGAGCAUAUUAGUUGGCAUUAUCAAUGGUACUGCCACAUGGCGUUUUAUCAUUAGUCUUUGUAUGAAAGGGGAUAAUUGAAGCAUUUCUAUUGGCGGAAGGUCUCACCAUUGUAACCUAUAAAUAGUUCAGUUUAGAAAUUUGUAAAGGGAUUCCGAAAAUUUUAGCAAUACAGCAACAAUACAUUGUUUACUUAAAUA
Long non-coding RNA from Solanum verrucosum, 570 nucleotides. RefSeq lists it as uncharacterized. The record is from RefSeq and is a predicted model, not a curated record. NCBI's taxonomy places the organism in Eukaryota, Viridiplantae, Streptophyta, Magnoliopsida, Solanales, Solanaceae. The transcript has 2 exons.